AGGAGGCAGUGGUGCGGUACCCCGAGCUGUGUCAAUGGAGAGAUGAGGCAGCGGCAGCAGUUGAGUUGUAACAGUGAUCGAGGGAGGAGGGACGCCGCUUGCGCUCCUGAUCUCAUCUCUCCACGUGUGUUAAGUGUGUUUGGUUAUCUUUGUCACUAAUCUUGUGCCAGAAAACAGGAAGAUAUGUGCACUAGAAACUCGAGUGAGCCAAGUGCCUCGCUGUAGGGGAGUCAGGCUCAAGAGAAAAUUUUUCUGACUAGUGAAGAGUACGUAAAUGUUUGUUUACCUCCGUUUUGUGCUGCAUUUUGUUGACAACAUCAGUGUGUUGAUAAAGAACAGUGUGAAAGUGUGUGCUCAAGUGUACGUUGAUAACUUGUCACUCGUGCGUUGAUAGUCUGUGUGGGUCAAAGCCCUCAGCCAUGUACGGCAUUCGCCUCAACCCCGAGGGCCAACACGUCCAGCGCGGCACCACCACCUCUGCCCGCGACUCCCAGUCCCAGGCGGGGUCCAGGCAGUACCUGGGUAGCAAAAGGGUAACAGAGAACUACCAGUACGCGUCCUUCACGGAGUACAACAAUAACGAGGUUUUAUCUGGUAGUAGUAAUAGUAGUAGUAGUUUGCUGUCCGAAAGGAUGCUGCCUGAUGGUGGUGGCAUGCUGUCUAGGUCCACCUACUCCCGCAGCACUAUGCUGUCAGACACGCGCAUUGCUCACUCUGCAAUCAUUGGCAGCAGCACAAUGAGGAAGGAAACAGCGUCUAGCAGCGCCUUCAGCAGUACGGUGGGAAGCAGGCGCAUCAUGGGUCACACUCACUGCAGUGGGUCUACGCGAAUACCGGAUGUUUAUUUAGAGGCAGCUGAAGGCGGGGCUGAAUGUCAGUCUGUCCGCCUGCAGGAGGAAGAGGCUGAAUUCUGCAUAGGCGUGGGCAGCAGUCGGGAAAAUGGUCACCAGGGCGGGGCGAUGCGACGCUCCUUCUCCAAGUCCGCCAAUGACCUGCUACACCGAACACGCUCGCCUUCGGGGGAGAGGUCGAGUGAGCCGUCACCCAAGGGCUCGCCAACCCUGGGUACCCGUAAGGCGAAGGAGCAAGACAGACCCAGAGCCAACACUCAGCCCCGCCCCGCGCCCUCCUUCUUUACCACGUUCAAGAGAGUUAAAAAGAUGGCCGCCGAGUUCAAACUGAAGACUAAGUUCCAGCGGACCCUGAGCAAGGAGAGCAAGGUGGUGGCGCGGCGGAAAGACGUGCUGCUAGACGGUGUUCGGAGCAACUCCCACCCAGAUGUGAGUGUUGAGAGACAGGAUAGCACCACAGACUAUGCUGCAGACAACUCCUCAGCAGAACAGUCCUCCUCGGGGACACCCCUCACCAUGUCUCCUCGACGUGGUCCUCACCUUGCUUCCAGCAGGCACUACUCUAAUGAUCCUAAUACACUCUUUGAAAAUGGGGAAGACCCCACAGAGACUGAGUCUCGCAUUAUGGAGGAACUGCCUGAUGAACUACUGGCCUCUACUGAAGCAUCUCUUGAGCCAGAUACUAGUGGGGCACCAGGAGAGUCUGGAGAUCAGGGAGCCUCCAUAGCAUCAAACUUCUCCCCUCCCACACCUGCCCGUGCUGCUCACUUCAGCAUUGACACCGCAUCCCCAAGUUACCUCCUUGGGCGUGGGACAGAGAGCGACACCUCUCAGCAGCUGAUGUUGUGUGAGGGUGAGAGUGUGACGAUGGAUGCCCCCUCACCCCUCCAGGCCUCCUCCAGCACCAACACCACCAUCUGUGAGGUCUGGUCAAAGGAGGAUCCAGCUGUGCAGCGGCAGCGAGCCCUUCGCCAACACUCCUUUUUCCAGCUCCACAUCCACCUCAAGCGCGGCCAAGACCUGGUUGCCCGUGAUGCCUGCGGUAAGCUCCUCCCCCAAUACUCGUCCUACCAGUCAGGAGAAACUACAAGAGCAGGCACCAGUGAUCCCUAUGUGAAGUUCAAGGUUGCAGGGAAGCUUGCCUACAAAUCCAAGACAGUAUACAAAGAUCUGAAUCCCACAUGGGAUGAAUCAUUCACUGUGGGCAUAGAGGAUCCCUUUGAGCCUGUGUCAGUAAAGGUGUUUGACUAUGACUGGGGUCUGCAGGAUGACUUCAUGGGCUUAGCUACCAUUGAUCUCACCACCCUUGAUCUUGACAAGUGUACAGAUGUGGAGUUACCCCUCUCUGAGCCCCGUAAGGCAUCCCCACCCUACAUGGGCAAGCUGUACAUGAGCCUCACACUGCAGCCCAAGACCCAGGAGGAGAAAGAACAGUACCUCCAGCGCGGUGGGUCUCGCCUGGCGGAGCAGCAGCGGCGCUUGAAGAGUCAGAUAUGGAGCUCCGUGGUGACCAUCGUGUUGGUGGAGGGCAAGAACCUGCUGCCCAUGGACGCCGACGGCACUUCAGACCCAUACGUCAAGUUCAGACUCGGGAACGAAAAGUACAAGAGCAAAGCAGACCUGCACACACUCAACCCUAAGUGGCUGGAGCAGUUCGACUUCCACCAGUUUGAGGAUCAAAGCCAGUUCCUGGAGAUCACUGUGUGGGACAAGGACGUCAGGAGCAAGGAUGACUUUAUGGGCAGAUGCGUACUGGACAUCUCCAAGUAUGAAAAGGAGAAGACCCAUCAUAUCUGGGCACCACUUGACAAGGGUGCUGGCUCCGUCUUCAUCCUCCUCACAAUCUCUGGCAUCACUUCUUCUGAAACCAUAUCAGACCUCCACUCCUUUGAUGAUAACCCCAAGGAACUUGCAAACAUAGCUGCCAGUUAUAAAUGGACCAGAACGCUGCAAAAUGUGAAAGACGUUGGGUACUUGAGGGUGAAGGUAUUCCGGGCACAGGGCCUUGCCUCUGCAGAUAUUGGAGGCAAGAGUGACCCAUUCUGUGUGUUAGAGUUGGUCAAUGAUCGUCUCCAGACACAGACGGAGUACAAGACACUUUCUCCAAGCUGGAAUAAGAUAUUCAACUUCAAUGUUAAGGACAUACACAGCAUUCUGGAAGUGACAGUGUAUGAUGAGGACCGGGAUCAUAAAGUGGAAUUCUUAGGCAAAAUUGCAAUUCCAUUAUUAAGGGUCAGGAAUGGAGAAAAGAAAUGGCAUGCCUUGAAAGACAAGAAGCUGAGAAUGAGAGCUAAAGGAGUCAACCCAGAAAUUUUAUUGGAGUGCACAGUAUAUUGGAAUCCAUUACGUGCAGCCAUAAGGACCUUUAUGCCGAAGGAGGAGAAAUUCAUGCAGGUGGAGCAAAAGUUUAAGCGACAGGUGUUCAUAACCAAUGUGAACCGACUGAAGGCUUGUGUUAUGGAUCUGGUGGAAGGUGGAAAGUUCAUAAAGUCUUGCUUUGAGUGGGAAUAUCCAAUCAGGAGUACAUUUGCAUUCAUUGGCUUCAUGGUGGGAACUUACUGCUUUGAGCCAUACAUGAUUCCCAUUAUCCUUUUGAUUGUAUACCUCAAGAACUACAUUGUAUUAUCAAUCGUGGGCACCAUGUCGCACCGUGAGGACGAAACAGAUUUUUCUGUAGAUGAUGAUGAAGUGGAUGAUGAUGAGAAAGAUAAGGAGGAAAAGAAGUCGCUCAAGGAGAGACUGCAAGCCAUACAAGAGGUGACUGCAACUGUCCAAAAUGCCAUAGGUGCCAUUGCAUCCCUCUUUGAAAGUGUCAAUAACACUUUCAACUUUUCCGUGCCAUUCCUCUCAUGGUUACUCAUCAUUGUACUGAUUGUGGGCACCUUCGUCCUGUACUACAUCCCUAUUCGCUACUUGGUGAUGAUAUGGGGUGUCAACAAGUUCACUCGCAAACUUAUCCGGCCACAUGCUGUCAUCAACAAUGAGCUUCUGGACUUCCUGUCUCGAGUUCCUGAUGACGAGACUUUGCGUGACUGUCGUGAGUUGCGGAUGGUGGCUCAGCUCCACGAUGACAAAAGAAGAGAUAAUCGGAAGAAGAAACAAAGCUAAUGAACGCCCUGCAUCAGGGAGUAUGUACUAGCAACAGUUAAUCAUCAUAUUGAGUAGAGGUAGCAACUAGAUACCAGAAACAUGUCUUCAUCCAGCAAUGAACAUGUUGACUCCCCUGCUCCUGUGAUGCUUCAACCUGAAUACUGAUGUGGAUAUCUGGCUUGCUGAGCCCCAAUAAAAGAGGAAAGAGGACUACUAGGUAAUGCCUGUCAUCAAGUCACAGUAUAUUCCAUCACCACUGUGACCACCAACCUUGUUCAAGCAUGGAAGGAUGGGAAAUAAAUCCCCAAUUGAUCUUUAUUAUUGGGUUGGUAAAUCUGCUAAGGGCAUUGUCAGGAACAUAAAGGCAUUGCUCUUGAUAAUGAAUUUGAAUGUCUCAAGCCAAUGUAAAGGAUGAGAGUGAGCCCUAAUACAUAAUUUUUAACAUAAUACCUAUUAUAACAUUAUAAACUUUAUAUAAAAAUGCAGAUUAGGGGGUGAGUAAAAUUUGCAGCAGUAACCAAAAAAAAGAGGAAUUAUUAAAAGCCAUAUGGUAAGACAGAAGAUGCAUAAUUUGAUGCAUAAUGAUAAUAUAUUUUGGCCAUUUUAAUAGCAGUAAUCAGUGAUAAACUUUAAACUCAAUUAUCUCAAAAGUAAGCUCGUGGGUUGUCCACCUCUUACGUACAAUGUCUCAAUUACUCAUUGUUAAUCAUUAUCAUACAUCUAUAUUAUGAUGUACAUUAAUAUAAUAUAUAUUAGAAAUUAGAUAAUUGAAUGUCCUCACUAAAAUGUUUUUUUAACGGACAUGUAUUCCCCAAUAUUGGAAAAAAAAAAAUGGACAAUAAAAACCCAAAGAGAACUUUCAUGUCAAGCAAGAUGUAGUGAUAUGAAUUAACUAGAUUCCUUUGAUUAAUUGUUUUUGUUGAAAGUAUGUGUAUGGACACAACUUGAAAUAUCACUGUCUGAGUUCUAUGAAGAACUCUGAAAAAGACGUCUUGAAAGUUACCUGAAUAUACAUGCCACUGGCAUGUGGUUUUCACCAUUCUUGUAGGCUAGGAAGGCCAUGUGAGCUAUUGAGAGCUCAAAUGUGGUUUACCAUUACUCAUAUUUUUUUGCAGUAAUACUGGAUAUCAAGUAGAAUAUCACUUCAUUCUCUAACGAUGUCAACAUAUUUUGUGUAAUUUUAGUUGAUAACAUUAUUGUGUACUUUGUAUAAAGUAGUUAAGAAUCUGAACUGGUUUUGGGUGGGAAGUUUGUUUGGUACUUAUUUUUAAUGUGCAUAAUAGCUAUAGGCUGACAUCCUCAAAUUUUCAGUAUCUAAAAUCCAGAGCAUUGGUGAGACUUGUGGUGCUUUGCAGCUGUUACCUAUUGCGAACACAUCAUUAAUUAAAAUGUUAUGUUUAAUAUUAGAUGCUAGAGGUAAGUACACAACAGAGUUGUGAAUGUUGGAAAUUUGGUUUUCCAUCUAAUGAAGUGUGAUGAAUAUUAUACUAGUAAGAGUAUUUGUUAUAUCUUUCAGUGCACCUUAACACACACACACACACACACACACACACACACACACACACACACACACACACACACACAUAUAUAUAUAUAUAUAUAUAUAUAUAUAUAUAUAUAUAUAUAUAUAUAUAUAUAUAUAUAUAUAUCAUAUGCCAUAUCAGUAUUUUAUAUAAUGAAAUUGCAAAAAAAGUAGAAUGAAUUAAAUGUAACAUGAACAUGAUUAAAUACAUUUCAUAUGCUCUUUUGAAACCAUUAAUUACUCAUUUUAUAUUAAUGUUAUUAAUAAAACCAUGAAUUAAAGAUUAAUUGUAGUAUAUUAUAAAAUGCAAUGAUAACAAAAGUAAAGAGGGAUAAUAAUGACCUGGUUUAUAUAACAUGGUAAUUAGUUUAAAAUGUAUUACAUCUCUAGAAAUUAUUAAUUUGCAAUUCUAGAUGAAGGCACAAAUUUAUAAUGAAAGUUUAAAUGAAUAAUAGCCAUACUAGCUUAUUUGAUUUAUUUUGAACAGACUCAAAUAUUGCAAUCAGAAUUAUGGGAAAAUGAAAAUACCUAUCUUUGUUGAAUUUUUAUUUUAAUAGGUUUUGAUUAUUUUUUAAAAUGCUUUUUGCAUCCUUAUAUUGUUGCAUCAACCAAAUAUCAUGUCCCUUAUGUGUAACUUUCAAGUAAAAGAUUCACAUGAAUAGUCUUUUUCCUAUUCGAAGCAAGAUUUGUUAAAUUUACAUUUUUUUUUAUCAAAUGGCCUCAGCUUCUUGUACAUUGAGGCAACCAUAAGAUGGCCUCAGCUUCUUGUACAUUGAGACAACCAUAAGAUGAGUGUGUGUUCCCGUGAGUGCUGUGUGUGGUGUCCCUAGUGGAGGAGUUGGUAGGACUUGUCCAUAGAUAUACUAUUGCAAAACUCAUGAUCUUAUAUUUUUAUUGUUGUAGCUGUGUGUUAUUGGUCACGCAGGGAGUUCCAUAGCAGACAUGCACAUGACAUACUUUAUAAACUAAGGCACUACAAUACCUGAUGUUAUUUACUUGAACACUUAUAAUUUGCUUAUAAUAAUUAUGCAAAAAAUAAUGAUUUCUUAAUGCAUAAGUAUAGAAAUUUUACAUUUUCUUGUAGCUUUAAAUUUAUGAUUCAGUAUUCAAAUAUUGAAGAAUGAAUUACAGUCUGCUAAUGUAAAAAUUGCAUUUUUAAUGCAUCUAAAUCUCUUAAAAUAUUUUGGAGCAUUUUAUUCAAAGCUGACAAAAGUAACAGCUUUUUAAUAGAUUACAAACUUCUUGAUUUAUUUAAUAUCUACAGUAUUACUGCCUUAGGUGGGGUGAAAAAUUUACUUUCCUUAGUUAACCUGCUUUUGUAUUAUCCUCUUCACAAGCACUUCCAUAAAUAUCAAGGAAAUAGAAUAUUACAUGUCUGUUUUGUAACUUGCUUGCAUGUUGCUUCAACACUUCCAAAAGUUUUGAUGGAGUACAUGAAUUGACUGUUUGGACCACAUCCAUUGACUCCUUUUCCUCCCAUCCAUGUACUUGUAGCCACCCAGGCAGAGUCUCGGUUGCCUGCUAACCACCGCUGCCAUUAUGGUGCCACAGACUGAGAAGAAACAAGGAUUGAUCUUACUCUUGUAAUUAUCUUAUGCUCUGAAUAAAUAUCUUUUGUAC
This 7083-nucleotide unclassified non-coding RNA is filed under the name Portunus trituberculatus (swimming crab). RNAcentral describes it as "multiple C2 and transmembrane domain-containing protein-like, transcript variant X8". The record is from RNAcentral. Lineage: Eukaryota; Metazoa; Arthropoda; Malacostraca; Decapoda; Portunidae.